AUGCAUACAUCCAUUUUCUGUAAUUUCCAUAAGGAAAUCAAAUAGAAUAAAUCUUACUAAAUACAUGAAAAAGAAAAUAGAAAUAGAAGAAGGGAGGGGAAAUUGUUGGUGAGUGUAUGACUGUUGAACAGCGCCGCCGGCGCUACGCGCCACGGCGGCUGGCGGAAGGAGGCAGGGGCGGCGUACGGCGAGAGAGGAAACAGGGGCAGCGGCACCGUGGUCUCUGCCGCUGCUGUGUACUUCCGGUCAGGGCGGAGGGAGAGGCGCUUGGGUUGUGCCGCUGUCGACGCGAGAGGGCGGUAGUGGUGGCGAAGGUCGCCGGAGAAGGAGACGCGGCCGCGGCUUGGCGCGGCGAGGAGAGGCAAGAGACCGAGGGAGAGAGGGAAGGAGAGAGAAGUGGAGCAGUUGCUGUGCGUAAGUGAGUGAAUGAGUGUUAUAUUAGGGGUUGAUAUUAGUCUUUGGGCUUGGGCUUAGGUUAAAUUCAUUUAAUGAGCUGAAUUUACUUAAAUAAUUGGGCUAAUAAUUUUAAUAAAAAUUGGGCUUUUAUUUUAAAUUAAGAUUUAAGCAACAAGAUCAUGCCUUAAAUAUUUUAUUAAUAAGAUCAAUGUAAUUUUAAAGGUUUUAUGUAAAUUUUCUUUAAUUUUUAAAUUAUUUUUACAAGUUCAAAUAGGCCCUUAUGUUUAUUAUUUGAAUUUAUCUGACUAGGUGCGGCGCGACUAGGACAUAACUGUUGAUCUGAAAUUAUUCAAGUUAUCUAUCAAAUCCAUAUUUUCAGGUGUGGGAUUUAUUUCAGUACAUGCACGUGGUUAAUAUUUGUCCAUUUUAAUAUUAUGUGUUUACCGUAUGUGUUGUAAAAAUAUUUAUCGCUAGGGGCCAGCAUAAUUGGUCCAGGACUUCACCGUCCUUGGUAUGCCACAAUGCGAUUUCAUGUUACAGGGUUGCAACCAUUAUAUUGUCGCCAGGGGCCCACAUAUAGGGUCCGGGACAUUAAAGUCCUUGGAGUUGCCACAGUGCGUAUGGAAGUUAUGUUACGUUAUGACAAUAUGUGUUACCAUUUUAUUAACAUGGACAAUUAUUGCAUGUUCCCACACUGAGUGUACCCUGUAUGCUCAUCCCAUAUUCAACAGUUUCAGGUGAUUGAUAUUGGAGGCGCGUGGAGAGUCGAAUGGGCGCGUCGAAUCUAAUUAAAAAUAAAUGUUUCUUAAAACAUAUUAUGUUAUUUCAUUUGAUAUCUUUUGGUUAUGUAAACUCUGAAAUUCUAUACUAUUUGAGAUUUGUGUGUGAUUUGUUUAAAUAAAUGUUAUUAUAUUAUUUUAA
Molecule: long non-coding RNA, 1317 nt
Filed under: Salvia miltiorrhiza (redroot sage)
Lineage: Eukaryota; Viridiplantae; Streptophyta; Magnoliopsida; Lamiales; Lamiaceae
Description: long non-coding RNA (SMIL_LNC006617)
Source: RNAcentral